UACGAAGGGUGCAAGCGUUACUCGGAAUUACUGGGCGUAAAGCGUGCGUAGGCGGUUCGUUAAGUCUGACGUGAAAUCCCCGGGCUCAACCUGGGACGUGCGUUGGAAACUGGCGAUCUAGAGUACGGUAGAGGGUGGUGGAAUUCCCGGUGUAGCAGUGAAAUGCGUAGAGAUCGGGAGGAACACUCGUGGCGAAGGCGGCCACCUGGACCAGUACUGACGCUGAGGCACGAAAGCGUGGGGAGCAAAC
Molecule: ribosomal RNA, 250 nt
Filed under: uncultured bacterium
Lineage: Bacteria
Description: partial 16S ribosomal RNA
Rfam family: Bacterial small subunit ribosomal RNA
Source: RNAcentral